Molecule: ribosomal RNA, 500 nt
Filed under: uncultured bacterium
Lineage: Bacteria
Description: bacterial SSU rRNA
Rfam family: Bacterial small subunit ribosomal RNA
Source: RNAcentral
CAUCGAGCGGUGAGGAGCGGGAACAGAUAGCGGCGGACGGGUGAGUAUGCUAGGAAUCUGCCUAUUGUGGGGGACAACAUUCCGAAAGGAAUGCUAAUACCGCAUACGCCCUACGGGGGAAAGCAGGGGAUCUUCGGACCUUGCGCCUAAUAGAUGAGCCUAAGUAGAUUAGCUAGUUGGUGGGGUAAGGCCUAACCAAGGCGACGACCUGUAGCGGGUCUGAGAGGAUGAUCCCGCACACUGGGACUGAGACACCGGCCCAGACUCCUACCGGGAGGCAGCAGGGGGGAAAAUUGGACAAAUGGGCGAAUGCUUGAUUCAUGCAGCCGCGCGGGAGAAGAACGGCCCUUCGGUUGUAAAACACUUUAACCGAGGAGGAGGCUACUGAAAUAAUCCUUUGGAAGGGGACGUACCUCGCACAUAAGCACCCGCUACUUUGGCCAGAGCCGCGAAUCAAAGGGUCGACGUAAUUGAUUACUGGCGGAAACCGGCCUAGCGGU